AACGAACGCUGGCGGCAGGCCUAACACAUGCAAGUCGAGCGGACAUCUUCGGAUGUUCGCGGCGGACGGGUGAGUAACGCGUGGGAACGUGCCCUUUGCUUCGGAAUAGCCUCGGGAAACUGGGAGUAAUACCGGAUGUACCCUUUGGGGGAAAGAUUUAUCGGCAAAGGGUCGGCCCGCGUUGGAUUAGGUAGUUGGUGGGGUAAUGGCCUACCAAGCCGACGAUCCAUAGCUGGUUUGAGAGGAUGAUCAGCCACACUGGGACUGAGACACGGCCCAGACUCCUACGGGAGGCAGCAGUGGGGAAUCUUAGACAAUGGGGGAAACCCUGAUCUAGCCAUGCCGCGUGAGCGAUGAAGGCCUUAGGGUUGUAAAGCUCUUUCACCGGGGAAGAUAAUGACGGUACCCGGAGAAGAAGCCCCGGCUAACUCCGUG
This 435-nucleotide ribosomal RNA is filed under the name uncultured bacterium. RNAcentral's name for it is "partial 16S ribosomal RNA". It matches the Rfam family "Bacterial small subunit ribosomal RNA", at positions 29 to 507 of the family's 1533-position model. The record is from RNAcentral.